CCCCCAUAGCCCAAUUGGCAGAGGCAACGGACUUAAAAUCCGUCAAGUGUCGGUUCGAGUCCGACUGGGGGCACCAA
Molecule: transfer RNA, 77 nt
Filed under: Rhodococcus erythropolis CCM2595
Lineage: Bacteria; Bacillati; Actinomycetota; Actinomycetes; Mycobacteriales; Nocardiaceae
Description: tRNA-Leu
Rfam family: tRNA
About the family: Transfer RNA (tRNA) molecules are approximately 80 nucleotides in length. Their secondary structure includes four short double-helical elements and three loops (D, anti-codon, and T loops).
Source: RNAcentral